UUCAUUCUCAGCAUCGACAUUACAAACCCUAGAAGAUCAUCCUCCUCGCCGACUUCGCAGCUAACCGCGACAAACGUCACCGGUGACGGCGAAAAAACUCCACCCCAACAGCAAAUUGGCGACGAACACAUCUACUCAUCGCCCGUUCGAGAGAAAAAUCGUGGAAAAUUCCAUAACCAUCACCAAAUCGACAAAACCCUAAAUCGCUCUCCACCUUUUAAGCCUCAACCGAUAAAAUCGGAGAAAUAGAAGCCGUUUAUGGAGUUAUUUUCCUCCACUUCCGCGAACUUCAGCGCCUCAAACACAGAAUCAGCGACGAAACCUAAAUCCUCCGAAUCUCACCGCUUGACCAGAAUCGAAGAAAUCGAAGCCGUGGAAGCCAUCUACAGCGUUAUUUUCCUCCACUGCUGCUAACUUAACAGCCUCAAAAACUGAUUCAGCGACGUAAGCACAAAUCCUAAGUAUCUAACCGCCUGCACCGAUGAACACGGACAAGCAGAAGACGCAAACGGAGAUGAAAUCCUAUCCAUCACUAGAAAAAGUGAUAAAAUGGCAAGUUUGUUGAACAAAGUUGUAAGCCUAAAUCUAUGCCCUAAAUUAUAUUCAUAUUUACAAAAAUAUAGCAGAAUAUGAAGAAGUCAGAAAACAUACCACGCGAUCAUGGAAGACAGCUUCCAAGGUCUUAUCAUUCUUAUCUCCAGAAUUGUUCUCAUAAAGCCGGACACAAUAGACCUUGAUGACAGAGGUAGGCACUUUAGGCAGAAGAUUAUUAACCAAGGUAAUUAAAGGUGCCAUUCUUCGGUAGAACUUUCUGCAGUAAAAAGAGAUAUUGAAAAAUUACAGCUUUACUUUUCCAGUCAAUGAAAUAAUUAUAUAUAUAUUGUAAUAGAAUAGUGGUGUUUUUUAUAAAGCCUAUGCAAAUCUAACAGAAAUAGGCUACAACCCUA
This is a long non-coding RNA of Salvia splendens (bonfire salvia), 947 nucleotides long. RefSeq lists it as uncharacterized. The transcript is spliced from 3 exons. The record is from RefSeq and is a predicted model, not a curated record. Lineage: Eukaryota; Viridiplantae; Streptophyta; Magnoliopsida; Lamiales; Lamiaceae.